CCUGGCGGCCAUAGCGCCGUGGAACCACCUGAUCCCAUGCCGAACUCAGAAGUGAAACGCGGUAGCGCCGAUGGUAGUGUGGCAUUCGCCAUGCGAGAGUAGGACACUACCAGGC
Molecule: ribosomal RNA, 115 nt
Filed under: Aeromonas veronii
Lineage: Bacteria; Pseudomonadati; Pseudomonadota; Gammaproteobacteria; Aeromonadales; Aeromonadaceae
Also listed under: 1 other name
Source: RNAcentral